GUUGAACGCUGGCGGCAUGCCUUACACAUGCAAGUCGAACGGCAGCACGGGAGCAAUCCUGGUGGCGAGUGGCGAGCGGGUGAGUAAAGUAUCGGAACGUGCCCAGUCGUGGGGGAUAACGUAGCGAAAGUUACGCUAAUACCGCAUACGAUCUAUGGAUGAAAGCGGGGGAUCGCAAGACCUCGCGCGAUUGGAGCGGCCGAUAUCAGAUUAGGUAGUUGGUGGGGUAAAGGCUCACCAAGCCGACGAUCUGUAGCUGGUCUGAGAGGACGACCAGCCACACUGGGACUGAGACACGGCCCAGACUCCUACGGGAGGCAGCAGUGGGGAAUUUUGGACAAUGGGCGAAAGCCUGAUCCAGCCAUGCCGCGUGCAGGAUGAAGGCCUUCGGGUUGUAAACUGCUUUUGUACGGAACGAAAAGGUUUGGCCUAAUAAGCUGAGCUCAUGACGGUACCGUAAGAAUAAGCACCGGCUAACUACGUGCCAGCAGCCGCCGUAA
RNAcentral lists this ribosomal RNA (500 nucleotides) under uncultured bacterium. RNAcentral's name for it is "partial 16S ribosomal RNA". It matches the Rfam family "Bacterial small subunit ribosomal RNA", at positions 28 to 523 of the family's 1533-position model. The record is from RNAcentral.